UCUCCCCCAACAAACCUCACCCCCGUUAGUGCCGCCACCUCUAACUCGUGUGGUCCGAUGGGCGUCGCCGCCGCAUUAAAUCUCCCAGGCCACCAGCACCAGGGACACUUUUUCCUCGCAGGCAGCCACAAGGGUUUAGGUCCAGGGGCACUUGAAAUCGCAGAACGGUGCGCGUCAGGACGCUUUCCUCUCGAGUAUACUUUUGCCUCUCGUUGAUGGCAAGCGGCAUCAUAGCAGACGGUCAGGAAAAACACACGGAUGGAUCGCCACGCCGGGCAGGCAGGCAUGCAUACUACAGCCCCUUGCAUCAUCUCAUUUUCAUCAUGGAAAACCAACAAACGUGAAGAAAGUGAGGUCGGCACCCAGCCGGCCAGAACCGUGUGAAGUGGCCAGACACUCAGACAGCGAUGCGAUUAGAAAUGAAUUUCCACGAUUGCACUCAUCAGAUUUUUGCGCCCAUAUAGCACUCACAGAAGAGCAGAGCCACUUUGUUCAAUGCGACAACGGAUAAAUAAACAAACGACGGGAGACCGUUUUCGUGCGGGAGAGAUGAAUUUCCAAAAUUGCAUUCCAUCGGUUUGUGCAUGCAGGUUACAAACUGUGAUGUUUUGUAUGUCCAAAAAGACUAAUAAAACGCAAAAACAGACAACAACCUAGUAUCUACUCUAUAUGACAGGGGAU
RNAcentral lists this long non-coding RNA (681 nucleotides) under Hordeum vulgare. RNAcentral's name for it is "long non-coding RNA (HVUL_LNC004385)". Lineage: Eukaryota; Viridiplantae; Streptophyta; Magnoliopsida; Poales; Poaceae. The record is from RNAcentral.